AAGGAAUAUUGGUCAAUGGACGCAAGUCUGAACCAGCCAUGCCGCGUGGAGGAUUAAGGCCCUCUGGGUUGUAAACUCCUUUUAUCUGGGAAGAAAUGUACUUUUUCUUGAGUACUUGACGGUACCAGAGGAAUAAGCACCGGCUAACUCCGUGCCAGCAGCCGCGGUAAUACGGAGGGUGCAAGCGUUAUCCGGAUUCACUGGGUUUAAAGGGUGCGUAGGGGGGCAGGUAAGUCAGUGGUGAAAUCUCCGGGCUUAACCCGGAAACUGCCGUUGAUACUAUUUGUCUUGAAUAUUGUGGAGGUAAGCGGAAUAUGUCAUGUAGCGGUGAAAUGCUUGGAUAUGACAUAGAACACCAAUUGCGAAGGCAGCUUACUACGCAAUCAUUGACGCUGAGGCACGAAAGCGUGGGGAUCAAACA
Molecule: ribosomal RNA, 421 nt
Filed under: uncultured bacterium
Lineage: Bacteria
Description: bacterial SSU rRNA
Rfam family: Bacterial small subunit ribosomal RNA
Source: RNAcentral